RNAcentral lists this transfer RNA (86 nucleotides) under Candidatus Fermentibacterota bacterium. RNAcentral's name for it is "tRNA-Leu". It matches the Rfam family "tRNA". Rfam says of the family: Transfer RNA (tRNA) molecules are approximately 80 nucleotides in length. Their secondary structure includes four short double-helical elements and three loops (D, anti-codon, and T loops). Lineage: Bacteria; Pseudomonadati; Candidatus Fermentibacterota. The record is from RNAcentral.
GCCGGGGUGGUGGAACUGGCAGACACGACGGACUUAAAAUCCGUCGGCCCAUGGCCGUAAGGGUUCGAAUCCCUUCCCCGGCACCA